GCUAUUACCAUAGUAUUCUCAUGUAAUGAAUAUGUUCCUUUUAUUACAGGGGGCAGCAUCAGAAGAUGGGCGCUUGAACCGAGGAGAUCAAAUCAUUGCUGUGAAUGGGCAGAGCUUAGAAGGGGUAACUCACGAGGAAGCUGUUGCCAUUCUCAAGAGAACAAAAGGAACAGUUACCCUGACAGUUCUUUCUUGACUUAUUUAAUGCUUCUUGCCUCCAUAAAUUCCUUUUUUCAGUGGUCCUAUCUUACCAACAACUUUCUAUGUAUAUAAAAGAAGAGAGUAUAUGUUCACAGAUAGUUGGGUGUCAAGUAGACUCUUAAUUGGUCUAAAAGGAUGUCUUCUAGCUGCUAUAUUUUAACCUGACUGGUGUAUAUUUUAGAGGAAAAAUACUAUUUUAAUAUGUUUUAACCACUACAGAUGUAUCUUUUUAUUGUCGUCAGUCUUGUGUUAAAGUUUUUGCAGUGCAGCAUUUUUCAAGUUGGCCAAAGAAAGUCCAUUUCAGUAUUGCAGUAUUAAUGUGUAAAUGAAGGCCCCUUUUGACAGUGGCUCAGAAGCUUUUGUUGAACUACAAAUCUCUUGAUGCUUAGCUAACAAGAGACAGACUGUUGCUUUAUCUAAUUAGGUAUUUCAGUACAACUAGAUGAGAAAAGGCUUGUACAUGGCUUGCUCUCUUGUAAGCUUGUACAUGGCAUGCUCUCCAAGAUUAUAAAUCUGAAAUGUUAAAGAAUAUUGUAUUCAGUGAUGGUUUUAUUUUGCUUUUGUCGUAUACUGUAGUUUGUCGUAUACUGUAGUUUUUGUCCCACACAUGUGAAAACAGAAUUAUUCAGACCUUAAUAUACUGACAGUCCACUUAUCAUUCUUGUAACCUCUUACCAUAUCUUCUCGGGAAGUCCAAGACCUCUCCAUAAUCUUACAAUAAGCCAGAUUGUUUUAAUAAUACAUAAGAUGAGCAAACGGUCAGGUAGCAAUAAAGAGAUGCAUGCAAGUAAAUAUUUUGAAUUAGGGUUGUUCACACAUUCCCAGUGUAACAAGGUAGAUGCAAAUACCUGAUAACCACAGUACUGGGGAAUCUUUUUGUGUAUAUGCAGAGUCUAAAAGCUGUAAAAACUCAAAUAACAUAUGUAUCACUGUGCCAGUCUCUGGGAACAGUAACAAUUAAUUAUCCACAAAACCCACUGUUAUUUUUCAUAUUUGUUUGGAUGAACUGGUUACAUAAAACUGCUUUCAUUUAAAAUAUCAGUAUUAAGCCAUGAAAGAUUACAAAUCCGUUGUCAAGCUUAAAUAACAAUGUGUAUGGAAUUGUUCAGUUUGGAAUUUCAAUGUAUUUUAUGUUAACAUCAAUAUCACAUUCUACCUGAAUACUAUGAUUGUAGACAAUAUUGUGUAUUGUUUGUAACAAAGUUUCAGAUUAUUUGUAUACAUUUUGAAGAAGUUUUUCCAAUAAAAUACCGUAUUAGCUUGAUUGUUUUAGAACAUGAAGAGCAAGAUUACUAUUGUUUUUCUCAUCACUGACAUUUUUAGACAAAACAUGAAUUUCAUAUGUGUAUAAAGUAUAUUUCCUAGGUUGAACAAUAAAAUAAACCACAAUUACGGAUAUUUCUGAUUUGAUGGUAUGGCAUUGUUUUCAUUACAAAAUAAGAAAUUCU
Non-coding RNA from Pelobates cultripes (western spadefoot toad), 1649 nucleotides. The record is from the annotation of a GenBank genome assembly. NCBI's taxonomy places the organism in Eukaryota, Metazoa, Chordata, Amphibia, Anura, Pelobatidae.